GACUCUCUGCUGAAGCUGAACUUAGCAACCUUGUUGAAGUUUUGAUUAUCAAAAACUCUGAGAUAAACUGCUUAAAGCUGAAAUAGGAAGUUCUGAGAAAACUGUGAGCUUAGCCUGAAAAUUUGAACAAGUACACAUUACAGUCUUUCCCCUGUAAAGUGAGCAGCAUGUGCAUGAGCAUUGAUCGACAGCACUAAAACCCUCCUCUUGGCUCUGAUUGGUUGUUUUUAACCUGAAGUGGUGCAUUUCUGCAGAUAGCUAGAAAAAAGGGAGGAGAUCAAACUUUUCAUAGAUUAUAUGUCUCAAAUUAACCAUGAGGACAUAGUGACAGUUUUGAUAAAAAUGUAAAAGAUACAUUUUAUACAAGUAACAUCCUGCAGUUUAAUAACCACAGAUAACAAGGCGAUAUCCUGAGCAAAAUGUGUCAACACUUAAACAGACCUUACAUGUUUAUGUUGCUUUUCUUCUACAGUCAAACAUCGUCCAAAUGACCUUCAGUGUGCAGAGUUUAAGAUUGGUAAACAUGAAAAGUUGGAAGAGCUACUGGCAAAAGACAAGGACUUUGACUUCAGUUACCAGAAGUGGUACAGUGUGAGCAGCUCUAAGAAGGACACGUCAGGUGACUCUGGUGGAGGAUUUGUGUUCAAGAACAGGCUGUAUGGCGUUUGUGUCUUCACUGGAGAUCCACUGUAUGCACUCAGUGCACCAAGUGCUUUCCUGGAUGUCUGUGCCUACAAGAAGUGGAUAGAUGACACAAUUAACCAAAAACC
Long non-coding RNA from Poecilia latipinna (sailfin molly), 770 nucleotides. RefSeq lists it as uncharacterized. The transcript has 2 exons. Lineage: Eukaryota; Metazoa; Chordata; Actinopteri; Cyprinodontiformes; Poeciliidae. The record is from RefSeq and is a predicted model, not a curated record.